CGGAAAGCGAAUAAGGGUACACAGAGGAUGCCUAGGUAUCUCGUGCCGAUGAAGGACGCGUUAUACUGCGAAAAGCUUCGAUGAGGUGUAUAAGACCGCAAGAGUCGGAGGUGUCCGAAUGGGGAAACCCGGCGCGGUUCAAGCCGCGUCAUGGUUGGGGUAAGAGCCAGCCAGGGGAACCGCUCGAACUGAAACAUCUAAGUAGAGCGAGGAGAAGAGAAGAUUCUGCGAGUAGUGGCGAGCGAAAGCGGAGCAGCCCAAACCAUAGAUUACGGUUUAUGGGGUUGCAGGACUCAUAUAAGGUAUGGAAGCCGAAGUUGAACGAUCUGGGAAGGUCGGCCGAAGAGGGUGAGAGUCCCGUAGACGCAGGCGGAAGUAUUGAUGAGGAUCCUGAGUAGCACGAUACACGCUAACAUUGUGCGAAUCUGGGGGGUCCACCCUCCAAGGCUAAAUACGCGAGAUGACCGAUAGCGGAGCAGUACCGUGAGGGAAAGGUGAAAAGAACCCCGGCGAGGGGAGUGAAAGAGAAUCUGAAACUGUGUACUUACAACCGGUCGGAGGGGUAGAGAUACCCUGACGGCGUGCCUUUAGGAGAAUGAGCCAGCGAGUUAAUGUGUGUGGCGAGCUUAAGACAUAGUCAGUCGUAGGCGCAGGGAAACCGAGUCUGAAGAGGGCGCUAUAGUGGCACAUAUUAGACACGAAACCAUGCGAGCUAACCAUGGCCAGGGCGAAGUUACGGUAACGCGUAAUGGAGGUCCGCACCCACCGAUGUUACAAAAUCGGGGGAUGAGUUGUGGUUAGAGGUGAAAUGCCAAACGAGCUUGGAGAUAGCUUGUUCUCCCCGAAAUAGCUUUAGGGCUAGCGUUGCGCGAUGGGUGCCGGAGGUAGAGCACUGUAUGGGCUAGGGGGCGUCAAGCUUACUGAACCCAAACAAACUCCGAAUGCUGGUAUGCCGAGCGCGGCAGUUGGACUGCUUGAGAUGAGUUAAGCAGUCGAGAGGGAAAGAACCCGGACCCUCGUCUAAGGUCCCGGAAUGUAUGCUAAGUGUAAAACGAGGUGAGUGUGUUGAGACAGCUAGCAGGUUGGCUUAGAAGCAGCCAUCCUUUAAAGAGUGCGUAACAGCUCCCUAGUCAAACGCAAUUGCGCGGAUAAUGUAACGGGUCUUAAGCAUAUUACCGAAGGCAGGGAUAACGACAAGUUAUGGUAGGGGAGCGUUCUACGAGCGGAGAAGGUGUACUGCGAGGUGCAUUGGAGGUUGUAGGAGUGCGAAUGCUGGCAUGAGUAGCGAGAAAUAAGUGAGAACCUUAUUCGCCGGAAGUCUAAGGUUUCCGACGGAAGGUCAGUCCGCGUCGGGUUAGUCGGGCCUAAGCCGAGGCUGGGAAGCGUAGGCGAUGGACAACGGGUUAAUAUUCCCGUACCGGUAUGUGGAGGGGUUGUGGAGAGCUUGUGGUGUAGUCAGCCUCUGAGUGGAUUGAGGUUGCAAGCGGGUAGCGCCCGUGAAGCCGUGCCGCAAGGCAGGAAGUGACGAGAGCCAUGGGACGAGAAAGUCUGCAGCCCCGUAGAAGCGUGCCGCCCGUACCGCAAACCGACACAGGUAGACGAGUAGAGAAUACGAAGGCGAACGGGAG
This 1628-nucleotide ribosomal RNA is filed under the name Chloroflexota bacterium. RNAcentral describes it as "partial 23S ribosomal RNA". It matches the Rfam family "Bacterial large subunit ribosomal RNA", at positions 1 to 1696 of the family's 2925-position model. The record is from RNAcentral. Lineage: Bacteria; Bacillati; Chloroflexota.